CCUAGGGAGGUAGCAGUGAGGAAGAGUGGUCAAGGGGCGGUAGCCGGAACCAGACAAGUAGCGUGAAGGAGGACGGGCCUAGGGGUUGUAAACUUCUUUUAUAUGGGAAUAAAGUGCAGUAUGUAUACUGCUUUGCAUGUACCUUAUGAAUAAGGAUCGGCUAACUCCGUGCCAGCAGCCGCGGUAAUACGGAGGAUCCGAGCGUUAUCCGGAUUUAUUGGGUUUAAAGGGAGCGUAGGCGGGUUGUUAAGUCAGUUGUGAAAGUUUGCGGCUCAACCGUAAAAUUGCAGUUGAUACUGGCAUCCUUGAGUACAGUAGAGGUAGGCGGAAUUCGUGGUGUAGCGGUGAAAUGCUUAGAUAUCACGAAGAACUCCGAUUGCGAAGGCAGCCUGCUGGACUGUAACUGACGCUGAUGCUCGAAAGUGUGGGUAUCAAACAGGAUUAGAUACCCCAGUAGUC
RNAcentral lists this ribosomal RNA (459 nucleotides) under uncultured bacterium. RNAcentral's name for it is "partial 16S ribosomal RNA". It matches the Rfam family "Bacterial small subunit ribosomal RNA", at positions 338 to 795 of the family's 1533-position model. The record is from RNAcentral.